GACGUCAAGACCUUUGACUUUACUAGCUACCCUUACAAAAGGCUCAGAGCGAUGCAAUCUGAAGUGACCAAGUUCUGGAAGAGCUGGAGUCAGCUGGCUGGGCCCAACCUUUUCGUGAGAAGCAAGUGGCACAUCACAGAGAGAAAUGUCGCUGUUGGGGACAUCGUCUGGCUGUGUGACCAAAACGCAAUGAGGGGACAGUUCAAGCUUGGCAGAGUCAUCAGCACAAAUCCAGACGGCAAAGGCAUUGUGAGGGAUGUGAAUGUCAGGGUCUUCCCAAGCUACAGUGUUCCUGUGAUUAGACCUGGAAGCGUGAAGAAACCAAAAACUGAUGGGCCAAACUUGAAGGUCCAAGCUACUAUCCUUCACAGAGAUGUCCGGCGACUGGUCAUUCUGUUGCCUGUUGAAGAACAAGUGACUCACUGACGGUAGAUCUCUUUUAAAUUGAGUUUGACUUAGAGGUGGCGACCUUCCCAGUAUGUCUACCGGAAAGAUCGAGUGGGAGGUGUCGAGUCAAACUGUGGUUUUAAUUUUACUUUGGGGUUUAAGAAAAUACACUGAAAAAAAAGAAGAAAUUAACGGACAAAAAAUAGUGAUUUAAUUUUAAAUUGGGAGCGGAAGGACUCACCAGCUCAACUAAUGGUUGACGCAAAGUUCUAACCAACGCAAAAAUAAGCUACGUCAUACACGCGACGCAGACACGAGCAGCAGGUGUUUUAAUUGAGCUUCAAGGAGGCACGAGAGAGAACAAGAGAGCUGUUAGAAAACCACAGCAAAUGCGUGUAAUAAAAACUCUUGUAUUGUACAUACUGAACAUCUUUGAAAUCUGGAGAGGCAGCCGGUUUUUUACCUAAAGGUUAAUGGCAAGAGAAAAUAGCGAGCUACUGUUUAACUGAAAAUAAAAAGGAAAGAAAAGUGAAAACGUA
Gadus macrocephalus (Pacific cod) is the source of this 926-nucleotide long non-coding RNA. RefSeq lists it as uncharacterized. NCBI's taxonomy places the organism in Eukaryota, Metazoa, Chordata, Actinopteri, Gadiformes, Gadidae. The transcript has 2 exons. The record is from RefSeq and is a predicted model, not a curated record.